AAGAUAGGACAGAGGAAGAUGAUGAGGAGGAUGAUCGAGAGAUUGAUUCACAUGAAGAGGAAGAUGGUUAGGGAAAUUUUGGCAUUGACGCCACCAUUGUAGCUUUGGAGGUUAGGGUUAUGGAACCAGCUUGAAGUAGAGUUGGUGUUGAAGGUGACGGGAUGCGAUUUGUGAGUAGUGAUUUUGAUGAUGCUGACAUUUUCGUCACCGACAACAAAAUAGUUCCAUCUCAUCCCGCUAGUUACAACGUAGCGGCUGUUGGCAGUGGUGAAGAAGGACUUUUGGCACCAAAAGAUUUUCAAGGUUGGACUCGGAGAUUAAAGCUGCGGUAGAGACCAAUGAUUUUUCUUAAGUCAUUGCUGCGGCCGGAGAAGCUGAAACACACAAGAGAGGGUCCAUUGGAAAUGCAUCAAUAAUAAGUUGAUUUUGGUUGUUCCAUAUGGAAAAAUUCUUUGAAGGGGUCGUCUUAAUGUGGUUAACAAUUUUGAAUAAUCAUUGGAUGUACAAGUGAGAAACUCAAGAGGAUGAAUAGUUUAUCUUGUAACUUCUUGAUUUUCAAUUGUGAUAAAUUGUCUUGUAUUUGUGGCAUUUGGUUCUUGAAAUUUUGGAGGAUAUUGGGCUAAAAGUAUCGAUUACAACGAGAGCUUUUAACCCUUUUGGAAUUCAUUUGACUGGGGAUUAGGCUCUGCUGCAUUGCUUCUUAUAAUGUGGAGUUGCUUUCUUAGUUUAA
Molecule: long non-coding RNA, 730 nt
Organism: Cucumis melo (muskmelon)
Lineage: Eukaryota; Viridiplantae; Streptophyta; Magnoliopsida; Cucurbitales; Cucurbitaceae
Exons: 3
Source: RefSeq, a predicted model, not a curated record